This 459-nucleotide ribosomal RNA is filed under the name uncultured bacterium. RNAcentral's name for it is "partial 16S ribosomal RNA". It matches the Rfam family "Bacterial small subunit ribosomal RNA", at positions 338 to 795 of the family's 1533-position model. The record is from RNAcentral.
CCUACGGGUGGCUGCAGUGAGGAAUAUUGGUCAAUGGGCGCGAGCCUGAACCAGCCAAGUCGCGUGAGGGAAGACGGUCCUAUGGGUUGUAAACCUCUUUUGUCGGGGAGCAAAAGCCGCCACGCGUGGCGUUCCGAGAGUACCCGAAGAAAAAGCAUCGGCUAACUCCGUGCCAGCAGCCGCGGUAAUACGGAGGAUGCGAGCGUUAUCCGGAUUUAUUGGGUUUAAAGGGUGCGCAGGCGGACGAUCAAGUCAGCGGUAAAAUUGAGAGGCUCAACCCCUUCGAGCCGUUGAAACUGGUUGUCUUGAGUGAGCGAGAAGUAUGCGGAAUGCGUGGUGUAGCGGUGAAAUGCAUAGAUAUCACGCAGAACUCCGAUUGCGAAGGCAGCAUACCGGCGCGCAACUGACGCUGAUGCACGAAAGUGUGGGGAUCGAACAGGAUUAGAUACCCUUGUAGUC